GAGAUGCCUUUGGAAGGGGACCCGGUA
Molecule: non-coding RNA, 27 nt
Filed under: Cricetulus griseus (Chinese hamster)
Lineage: Eukaryota; Metazoa; Chordata; Mammalia; Rodentia; Cricetidae
Source: RNAcentral